Molecule: ribosomal RNA, 303 nt
Filed under: uncultured Prevotella sp.
Lineage: Bacteria; Pseudomonadati; Bacteroidota; Bacteroidia; Bacteroidales; Prevotellaceae
Description: bacterial SSU rRNA
Rfam family: Bacterial small subunit ribosomal RNA
Source: RNAcentral
UGAGGGAAUAUUUGGGGUCAAUGGACGGGAGUCUGAACCAGCCAAGUAGCGUGCAGGACGACGGCCCUAUGGGUUGUAAACUGCUUUUAUAGGGGGAUAAAGUGUGUCACGUGUGGCAUAUUGCAGGUACCCUAUGAAUAAGGACCGGCUAAUUCCGUGCCAGCAGCCGCGGUAAUACGGAAGGUCCGGGCGUUAUCCGGAUUUAUUGGGUUUAAAGGGAGUGUAGGCCGGAGAUUAAGCGCGUUGUGAAAUGUAGGCGCUCAACGUCUGCACUGCAGCGCGAACUGGUUUCCUUGAGUACGC